This 320-nucleotide ribosomal RNA is filed under the name uncultured eukaryote. RNAcentral describes it as "partial 18S ribosomal RNA". It matches the Rfam family "Eukaryotic small subunit ribosomal RNA", at positions 1470 to 1796 of the family's 1831-position model. The record is from RNAcentral.
CCCCUAGAUGUUCUGGGCCGCACGCGCGCUACACUGAACAGUUCAACAAGUCUUAACCUUGGCCGAUAGGUCUGGGUAAUCUUUGAACGCUGUUCGUGAUUGGGAUAGACCUUUGCAAUUAUGGGUCUUCAACGAGGAAUUCCUAGUAAACGCAAGUCAUCAGCUUGCAUUGAUUACGUCCCUGCCCUUUGUACACACCGCCCGUCGCACCUACCGAUUGAAUGGUCCGGUGAAAUCUCGGGACGGCGGCUUGGUCGCUUGCGUCCGACUGCUGAAACUUGAUUAAACCAUAUCAUUNNGAGGAAGGUGAAGUCGUAACA